GAUGAACGCUGGCGGCGUGCCUAACACAUGCAAGUCGAACGAAACUGAUUCCAUGAAACUUCGGUAGAUUGGAUGAAAGUUGAGUGGCGGACGGGUGAGUAACACGUGGGCAACCUGCCUCACAGAGGGGGAUAGCAGUUGGAAACGACUGAUAAUACCGCAUAAGCACACAGUACCGCAUGGUACAGGGUGAAAAGAUUUAUCACUGUGAGAUGGACCCGCGUCUGAUUAGCCAGUUGGCAGGGUAACGGCCUACCAAAGCGACGAUCAGUAGCCGACCUGAGAGGGUGACCGGCCACAUUGGGACUGAGACACGGCCCAAACUCCUACGGGAGGCAGCAGUGGGGGAUAUGUACAAUGGAGGAAACUCUGAUGCAGC
RNAcentral lists this ribosomal RNA (379 nucleotides) under uncultured bacterium. RNAcentral's name for it is "bacterial SSU rRNA". It matches the Rfam family "Bacterial small subunit ribosomal RNA", at positions 28 to 392 of the family's 1533-position model. The record is from RNAcentral.